RNAcentral lists this ribosomal RNA (253 nucleotides) under uncultured bacterium. Its description in RNAcentral is "partial 16S ribosomal RNA". It matches the Rfam family "Bacterial small subunit ribosomal RNA", at positions 524 to 776 of the family's 1533-position model. The record is from RNAcentral.
UACGUAGGGGGCAAGCGUUGUCCGGAACCAUUGGGCGUAAAGCGCGUGUAGGCGGCUCAGUAAGUCCGCUCUGAAAUCCCGGGGCUCAACCUCGGAACUGCCUUUGAUACUGCAAGUCUCGAGUCCGAUAGAGGUGAGUGGAAUUCCUAGUGUAGAGGUGAAAUUCGUAGAUAUUAGGAAGAACACCAGUGGCGAAGGCGGCUCACUGGAUCGGUACUGACGCUGAGGUGCGAAAGCGUGGGGAGCAAACAGG